GGUCCAGACUCCUACGGGAGGCAGCAGUGGGGGAUAUUGGACAAUGGGGGAAACCCUGAUCCAGCGACGCCGCGUGAGUGAAGAAGUAUUUCGGUAUGUAAAGCUCUGUCAGCAGGGAAGAAAGAAAUGACGGUACCUGACUAAGAAGCCCCGGCUAACUACGUGCCAGCAGCCGCGGUAAUACGUAGGGGGCAAGCGUUGUCCGGAUUUACUGGGUGUAAAGGGAGCGUAGACGGCGAUGCAAGUCUGAAGUGAAAGGCGGGGGCCCAACCCCCGGACUGCUUUGGAAACUGUAUGGCUGGAGUACAGGAGAGGUAAGUGGAAUUCCUAGUGUAGCGGUGAAAUGCAUAGAUAUCACGAAGAACUCCGAUUGCGAAGGCAGCAUACCGGCUCCAUACUGACGCUGAGGCACGAAAGCGUGGGGAUCGAACAGGAUUAGAUACCCUAGUA
RNAcentral lists this ribosomal RNA (450 nucleotides) under uncultured bacterium. RNAcentral describes it as "bacterial SSU rRNA". It matches the Rfam family "Bacterial small subunit ribosomal RNA", at positions 328 to 792 of the family's 1533-position model. The record is from RNAcentral.